GGCCUGCCGCUAAAUAUCUUAACAACUAACUGCGGGGAGAAAAGAUUCCUGAUAGCUUUUGCCAGUACCUGUGGUGUAAAUAUCCCCGCGGUGGCGGCGAUCAAGUUGCCCAAGGAGCAUCACUGGACCCCGAAUGGGAGGAGAGACAGGCCGUUCUGCCGCCUGCACGCUGGGAGAACCUGCUCCGGCGACCCCUGGAGGCGACUCAGCAGGCCUCUGUGUACUUGCUCCCUCCACGACCAGCCACCUGAGUCCUUGGGUCUAAGACAUGGUAAAAAGUCUAAAACUGGCUUCCCGGAGGCUGGAGGGAAAGAGGGCUAUGGUGCCAACACCAGAUCUCCAACAAAGCCGGGGUCCUGGUAGGAAAGAGGAGAGCUGCACAGAUGCACACGGCCAGGGUCAGCCUUAGAGGCACAGGCAGAGGCGCCUAGGAGCCGAGGUACUCCGUGCUUUUGUACACCGGGAACAGAAGACCUCAAACUCAGAGCCAUAUCACUAGAUAAGAAAAUACAUUGUCAUAUAAGAUGAAUUCCCUCCAGAGAGGGACGGUGAGCUCCUAUACUGGCUCAGUGAUGUCACCAAGGACCCAGGUUCUUUUAUCUUUCGCUGCUACCCUGCAUAUGCUGAUUUUAUCCUCAGGAUCGCUCCCUCAUAGUUACAGAAGGGGUGCCCCAGAUCCGGGCACUUCAUCCAGACACCACAGUCCAGUGGGAGAGGGGCAUCCUCCUCCUGGGUGCCUCUGAGUGAGAAGCCUUUCCCAUCAGUCUCCUCCUUUCAUCCCGCGCCCAGGCGCAUCACCGGCGGGGGAGAGGGCUCACCAGUACUAACUCAUGCCAGGCGGGAUUCUCCCCCGGGGCCGGGGCCAGCUGCUCUGAAGCACGGGCCCUGGAGGAAGCAGAACCCCUGGAAGACAAGCAGACGUCCGUCAGGAGCACGAGGGUCAGUGCUGGGUAGGCAGCCAACGACUUCUGUUCCACCAGGCGUCCGCCAGUUCCAGAGGAUAAUGGGUGCCACCAGAGCUGCACGUAAGUUGACCAGGGACGAGCUACACCUGGGAGACCAAAUCUAAGAGCUGCUUAUUUCAGAUGGUGCCUUGUGUUUGAGGGGAAUCAGCAUUCCAGUCAGGCUCCUAAUCAAAAGCCCUUCACUAUCACUUCUGCUCCAGCACACCCCACGCCCGCUUCCAAAGCAAAACCCCUCCUGCGGCCGGCAAAGCCCUGAUGAUCUGGUCUGUGCUUCGUAGGCUCCUCUGGAAUUCCUGUCCCCUUUUCUGCGUUGACAGUGUUCCUCUCUGCCUUGGAGCCUUUGCACAUGCUGCUCUCCCUCAGCAUCCCCUCUCCCAUCCCCUACCUCCUUCACCUUACUCUUAGGUUAGGUCAUUCCUCUUCUGCAGAUUCCCUUGGCUCCCUACACAUCUCUUUGGUGCCCAUAGGAACGUGUCCAAGUACACGGCUAGACGGCACGCUCCUUGUGGCCCAAGAAGCUGUCUCUUUUAUCAUACACCAUGCUCUCCUCCCAACACAGUGCUUGGCACACAGCAGGCAUUUGAUAAAUAUCUGUUGAAUGCAUGAACAAGACUCCCAACGAAGGAUGGUUUUAACCUUUGGAUAAGGUGGAUGAGGAGUCUGGCCUCCCAGAAGCCCCUGAUGGUUUCUGAGCCCAGAAACAGCAUGAUCACCAUGGGCUCAGGGGCAGAGAGAACACCAGUGUCCACAGGAGGGGUAAGGGGCCAGCAAUUACAAAGACAAGACCGCUUGGAUGGGUGAGGGUCGGGGCUACAGCUCUGAAUGGUGGUGCCGAGAUGGUGCAAAAGAAGGAGGGAAGUUCUGUCUCCUGCACAGGUUGUUAGCAAGAGCGAACGGGAUGCGGUGCCUCAAGAACAACGUCUGGGGCCGAGGGUCCUUAGGAAGGAACUGAGACGAGAGUCUGCACCAGCUUCUAGAAUAAUGUACUGUCCCUGGUCCCCAUCCCAACCCAAUCCUGAAUCAGUCCGCGUUCCCUUCCUCACCCCGGGAGACUGCGGCAGGUGCCUCAGGGCUCUGCUCUCCACCAUGCUUAACCUUCCCGAGCAAUCUGGUUCUUCCAGCUCAGUGGCACUAAUCAUGCCCUCUCACCUAGCUGGCACGAGGGGCAAAUAAGACAACACAUUGUACGAAGCUUUAGAAACUGUGGAGGUCUGUGGCCACGUAAGGAAUUCCUGUCCUUAGUAUUGUUUGGAGUUGGGCUCAUUCCUGGACCUGGCAUCUGCCCUGACAUUCCCCGUUCCCGUGUCUUGCUCAGUCUCCCUUUUCUCAUGGUCAGCCACGAUGCCGGCACUGACGGUAUAAGGCUAUAUAUAAGAAGACACCCAGGGAGAUCGAGUGUAGAAGGAAAAAGAAGGAACGUGGCAACCACCAGCUGCCUCCUCUCUUGUUCCUUGACUCACGGAUGACCUCACCACCCUUCCCGGUCAGCCAGGUCCCAAGCUGGGCAUCAUCUGUGUGUUAGUUAGCUGCUGCUGUGUAACAGACCACCCCUGGGCUAACGGGCUGAAGACAGCAGGUGAUGGUCAUCUCCCAGGGCUCCGAGGGUUCCCUCCGAUAGGUAGUUCUAAUCCGUAGACUCUCAGAGGAUUGCAGCCAGAGGGCCGCAGGGGCUGGAGUCCUCCCGAGGCCUGACCGGGCUGGACAUCCAAGGCCGCUUCCUGCACUCACAGGUCUGGUGCCUGCGUUGCAGUGGCUGGAAUAGCUGCGCAGCCAUGUCUCUCUCUCUCUCCGUGCCACCUCUGCACGUCUACCGUGCGCUUUCUCGCAGCAGAGUGGUCUUGGUUUCGAUUUUUCUCCUCACUGCUGGCUCCUCCCAGAAGGACAUGCUGAAGGACCAAGGCCGGGGCGGUAGGGGUGCGCGCGUGAGAUUUAUGGCUGCUUCUGAUCAAGCCCUAGCGGUCAGGAGGCGUGGCUUUGGUUGCGUUUUAUUGGCUGCAGGGCCAGUCCAGAGUGCGUGUGGGAGGGGCGAAGCCAGCGCUGGAUGCGGGGGGCGUGGCUUGAGGGGCAAGUUGCCGUCUUUGGAGCCUGCCCCGGGAGAGCCUGGUCCGGACUGGAGUCUUGCUCCGUGGAGCCCGCUCCCAAGGCUGAGCUUGGGCGCAGGGACGAGGGAGGCAGCAGCGAAGGAAGGAAACUGAGCAGCUAGGACCCGUGGCCCCCACCUUUAGUACUUCAUAUUUACUUAUUUACUGUUUUAGACUUUUGCAAACAGUUAAAUGUAAAUGAAAAAUUCUGAGGCGCACUUGCCAAAAAAGAGACACAGAUGGUCGAUAAGCGAAUGGAAGUACACUGAGCAGCAUCGGUCACUGCGGAAAAGUGCAGGAUGAAGCCACGACGUGGGGUUACCGCUCGGCCCUUGGGAUGACCUAAGUAAGAACAGUGCAUGCAUUCUUGAACCUGGUAGUGUCAGGUGUUCUCAAGCAUGGGACCAACUGGAAUUCACACACAUUGCUGGCGAAAGAGCAAAAUGGUGCAAAUACUUUUGAAAACAGUUUGGUAGUUUCUCAUGAAGUCAAGACGAUGCCAUGAAUCCAGCAAUUUCACUCUCAACUGAAAUUACCCUCGAGAAAGGAAAAGGCACAUCCACACAAAGACCUGUACAUGAAUUUUCCCAGGGGCUUUAUUCAUAAUUUUCCCAGAAGCCCAAAGCAAGGGGGAAAAACCCAAACUCAGGUGUCCAUCUAUGAGGGAUUGAAUAAACUAACUGUAGUACGUCUGUACGAUGGCUGUGAUGAGACAGAGUGAACUGUUGAUACACACAGCUUGAGGGAGGAAUCUCAGAAGUAUUAUGCUGAGUAAGAGAAAACAGCCAAAGAGGCUAAUGCUGUGUGAUUCCACUGUGAUUCUCUGGAAAUGCAAAACGGUAGUGACAGAAAGAUCAGUGGCUGCCAGUGGCUGAUGGGGGAGGAAAGGGGUUGAGUACAAAGGGGCACCAGGGAACUUUGUUGGGGUGACAAAAUGUUAUGGGGUUUUUUUUGUUGUUUUUUUGUUUUGGCUGCGCCUGCAACUUGCAAAAAUGCCCCAGCCAGGGAUCGAAACUUCACCACAGCAGUGACGACGUCAGAUCCUUAACCCACGAGCCACUGGGGAUUUCCCAGAAGUGUUCUGAGACUUGAUUGUGGAGGUAGUUGUCCAACUGCACAUGUUUGUCAAAAUUCAUCAAGUUGGAGUUACCGUCGCGGCGCAGUGGUUAACGAAUCCGACUAGGAACCAUGAGGUUGCGGGUUCGGUCCCUGCCCUUGCUCAGUGGGNCGUUGCUGUGGCUCUGGCGUAGGCCGGUGGCUACAGCUCCGAUUCAACCCCUAGCCUGGGAACCUCCAUAUGCCGCGGGAGCGGCCCAAGAAAUAGCAACAACAACAACAACAAAACAACAACAACAAAAAAAAGACAAAAAAAAAAAAAUUCAUCAAGUUGCAAACCUAAAACGUAUGAAUUUUCCUGAACAUAAAUGAGGCAGAAACCUGAGGCUAGAGUUGGAAAAUACAGAGACUCCCCUCUCUCCUGUGUGUCCCCUCUUGCCCAGUCGUCCCCAAGCUCUCCCCCGAGCCUGUCUCCAGUCCCGGUGCGCCUGUGCACUCCACCCCCGCCAGACCCUCCGCCUCCGUGACUCUUGGUGAACAGGCUUUUCCCUCCUCAAGGCCUAGAUGGCUCUUUAUCCUCAGGCUUCCCGCCGAAUUUCACGUUCCCAGAGAGGGCUCUUCUUCCUGUCCCGGCUAAAGGAGGCAUCCUUUGCCUCUGCCGAUGAGGCACGUGCUCUUCCUUCUUUACUGGAAGGAUGCUCUGUGAGGACAAAGACAGUGUUUCGUGCAUCUUUGAUGCAUGCGUGGCACUUAGUUUUUGUCAAGAAGCGAUGAGCAUGGGGAGGCUGUCCCCAUCUUCUUCCAGAGUUCUCUAUUGCACAAAGUGGCUUUUCCAAUAGAAUGCCCCCCGUUUCAUUUUCAUGUAUUUUUAGACUACUCGUUUUGAAUCGAAAUCAUGCGGAAGUACGUAGACUGAAAGGUGGGAGCCUUUCCACACACAGAGCUUUUAAACGUAUAAAUAAGAUUCUGCUUUUUCCUGUUGGUGCAGAGAAAUCGCCCGUAUUCUUUUUAGUAGUUAUAUAAUAUUCUGCAGUAUGGCUAUACCAUUUUAAGCAUUAAUCAUGAACGAGCAUUUAGGAAUUUCCCCUCCCCUCUUUAUGGCUCCAUGACUUCUGAUUUCAAAUGCUGCCUUAUCCAUAGGCGCAUGCGUGUUCGAUGUUGCUGAAGGAUGGAUUCCUAGAAAUUUGGGAUGUUAGGAAAGAGGGUGCAUGCACUUCAGAUGUGGCGAGUCUCUACUCUGUCCGAAGAGAGGCGCACGGAUCGGUGGAAUAGGUGCCGUUACCCCGGUCUGUGAGGAGCCCACGUGUCCACACCCUCAACCACUCGGGGCGGGUCAGCCUUUUGGUUUCCACCAGUCAGGUGAUGACAGGUAUGGAAAGUCAUCCUGGCUUAUACUCGGGGUCACUUGAAUUCGGCGUUAACUAAAGCAGCCUGACGUUGCACAUCGGGUGUAACUGCCAAAGAGGAGCACACGUGACCAGAGUGAAGCAUGUCCGUGGGAAAAAGAAAGACGAAAAGCCUCCCUUCCGGAGGGGCCAGUGCUGGGCCUCGUUCGAUGAUAACUCUCCCUUGCAGGUGCCCAGGCCACACUGACUCUCUGUGCACGUGCUCGUCUGUUUUCUCUCUCUCUCUCUGUGUGUGUGUUUAAACCUGGAAGGAGUGUGUACCUGACUUGUUUAAUGUUCUUUGUUCUGACAAGAUGUAAAACUGUGCUGAAAACUAUGCUUCUCCAGAGCGGGUUUCUCAGAGUAAUUUGAGACGCUGGCUGUAGUUCUCAGUUUGACUCAAACCAAACGCUUUUCUAUCCUUAUUACUGAUUGUUUUCGUCGACACCGGUUAACGUGCCGACUCAUCACUUAAAUCUACGUUUCUGGCGUCAUUGCUGAGAUUGUACAUAUUUUCGUGUGAUCGUUAGCUUGUGCUGUGAGUUCCUGGUUUUAUCCUUUGCCCCCUUUUUUAGGGCAAAGGGCAUGUUUUUGUCCUAUUAACUUGUGGGAACUCCUUGUGUCUGUAUGAUAUGGAAAUAAUCCGUUUGGAGAGUUAUAAAUAACGUUUGAGGGUGAUGGAUGUGUUCACUCGUGAUUGUGGUGGUGGUUUCGCAGGUGUAUACCUCUGUCAAAACUCAUCAAAUUGUACACUCUAAAUACGUGCGGUUUAUUGUAUGUCAAUCAUAUCUCAAUAAAGCUGUUCAAAAAAGGU
Molecule: long non-coding RNA, 6301 nt
Filed under: Sus scrofa (pig)
Lineage: Eukaryota; Metazoa; Chordata; Mammalia; Artiodactyla; Suidae
Description: lncRNA (ENSSSCG00060055792.1)
Source: RNAcentral